GUCGAACGUUGUUUUCGGGGAGCUGGGCAUAAGGUUCACAGGCUCCUAGCUCAAGUGGUCUGCCCUGCUUCCGGGCGCUAGCUACGGCUUGGAUUUUCAGCCGUAGUUUGCUGUCAAACUCCGAAUUUCGGAAGAGUUUCGGAAAAGCAAAAGCAUAGUUGAUAACAAAGUGGC
This 174-nucleotide ribosomal RNA is filed under the name Neottia nidus-avis. RNAcentral describes it as "partial small subunit ribosomal RNA". The record is from RNAcentral. Lineage: Eukaryota; Viridiplantae; Streptophyta; Magnoliopsida; Asparagales; Orchidaceae.